AGCUGCGUGUCUCAAACCUUAGGGGGCCCAAACCCUAAUUCCAACGACGGGCCUAAAGUGUUCGGGCCAAGUUUUAGUUUUUGGGUUUUCUUUUUUAUUUUUUUUAUUUUUUAUUUUUUAAAAUAGAAUAGAUGUUGGGGUUCCACGAAUGGGUCACGAAGAAUUUUAAUUCUUUAUUUCUGUUCUUUGCAUGUCGUAGUGUUAAUCCCUUAUGCUCUUUACCUGCUUUUGUUCGUCUCUGCUUGUUAAUAUGCUUUAUUAACUGCACUUAGACAAGCAUGAUAG
This 285-nucleotide long non-coding RNA is filed under the name Salvia miltiorrhiza (redroot sage). RNAcentral's name for it is "long non-coding RNA (SMIL_LNC013876)". Lineage: Eukaryota; Viridiplantae; Streptophyta; Magnoliopsida; Lamiales; Lamiaceae. The record is from RNAcentral.